UCUUAAGUAGUAUAGUGGUCAGUGCUCAUGCCUGUCAUGAGCCUUGACUCUAGAUUGCGUGAGACUGAGGUUCAAUUCCUUGUCUGAGAG
Molecule: transfer RNA, 90 nt
Organism: Sphaerobolus stellatus SS14
Lineage: Eukaryota; Fungi; Basidiomycota; Agaricomycetes; Geastrales; Sphaerobolaceae
Rfam family: tRNA
About the family: Transfer RNA (tRNA) molecules are approximately 80 nucleotides in length. Their secondary structure includes four short double-helical elements and three loops (D, anti-codon, and T loops).
Source: Rfam